GAACAUGAGCAGAGGGAUAGAAGAAGAAAUCCCAACAGCUUUCUCAAGCCUCCCAAGUGGGCCUUCACAGUAUGGCUUCAUUAUUUCAUUUACAGCAUUGUGAAUUCACAGCUGCCAGACAAAUCCAUACUGAAAUUGGCGGUGACCCUAGCUAGUUACUUGAAGCCAGUGCCAGAUGAACACAAGCUCUGACAGUUUCUACCAAGGUUCUGAAUAUGCCCUAGCAACAUAUUGUAUGUCUGUCACCUCAGGAACAGCAUAGCUAAAUUCGGAAAGUCUCAUCUCCAGAAGGUUGGCUACCAGAUGAGGAAGCUCAUACUCAGAGAGGAUGCCUUGUCCCAGGUCAUGUGACUAGGAAGUGGAUGAGCUUGGCCUGGAAAUCAGGUCUUCUGACUUCACAUCCAAUGUUCUUUCCUUUUUCGCACACUUGACUAAGUUCCUUCAAGUUGAAGCCCAUCUAUUCUCAAGUUACUAAUAACUGUAUUUAUUUGGAUAUAGAUGAAAUAGCUGUUUUAUUUGCCCUGUACAGACUUGCCAAUGCUGAUAACUACACACUGAAAUUGAUCACCUGUGAAUGAUUUUGGGAAACUAAAUGGACAUGUUUGACAACUCCAGUUGUCUGGCAAAAGUUUUUCAAAGACAAUCUAAGAGGAUCAGAUGAACAUCCCACUGAAGAGCAAGAAGAUGGAUUCCCAGCACUGUAGCCAUAGGAUUAUGAAUUUAUAGUAAAACUCUUUUCCUACAGUGUAUCUGGACUAACAUCAUUUUGUAAAAACAUAUAUUACAGAAAUUGAACAGUUCUUCUGAGAAACUUAUUUCUGAAGCAUUCUAUUCUGUUUGAGCAAUGAUGGGAGAGGAAACCUGUCACUUUUCAGUUUCCUUUCCCCUCAUUAGCACAUUGGGAUGUAAAAAAACUCAAUAAAAUUUCAAGAAAUAUUCAUCUUA
This is a long non-coding RNA of Vombatus ursinus (common wombat), 945 nucleotides long. RefSeq lists it as uncharacterized. The record is from RefSeq and is a predicted model, not a curated record. NCBI's taxonomy places the organism in Eukaryota, Metazoa, Chordata, Mammalia, Diprotodontia, Vombatidae. The transcript is spliced from 3 exons.